UAAGUUGUAGCUAAAUUUAAGUGCCCCACUUACUAUGGGGUGAUUGCCCUUAGGGGUACUACUUAA
Molecule: transfer RNA, 66 nt
Filed under: Palaemon annandalei
Lineage: Eukaryota; Metazoa; Arthropoda; Malacostraca; Decapoda; Palaemonidae
Description: tRNA-Val
Source: RNAcentral